UCAACCUGAAGGAAAAGUAGUUCCAUGAAA
RNAcentral lists this non-coding RNA (30 nucleotides) under Homo sapiens (human). The record is from RNAcentral. Lineage: Eukaryota; Metazoa; Chordata; Mammalia; Primates; Hominidae.